This 253-nucleotide ribosomal RNA is filed under the name uncultured bacterium. Its description in RNAcentral is "partial 16S ribosomal RNA". It matches the Rfam family "Bacterial small subunit ribosomal RNA", at positions 524 to 776 of the family's 1533-position model. The record is from RNAcentral.
UACGGAGGGUGCAAGCGUUAUCCGGAUUUACUGGGUUUAAAGGGUGUGUAGGCGGACUUUUAAGUCAGCGGUGAAAUCUCCGGGCUCAACCCGGAAACUGCCAUUGAUACUAUUGGUCUUGAAUGUUGUUGAGGUGGGCGGAACGGGUCAUGUAGCGGUGAAAUGCAUAGAUAUUCGGAGGAACACCAGAAGCGAAGGCGGCCAACUGGCCCGAUACUGACGCUGAGGCGCGAAAGCGUGGGGAGCAAACAGG